Molecule: ribosomal RNA, 378 nt
Filed under: Triticum aestivum (bread wheat)
Lineage: Eukaryota; Viridiplantae; Streptophyta; Magnoliopsida; Poales; Poaceae
Description: partial small subunit ribosomal RNA
Source: RNAcentral
AUGGGAGGCAUGGGUGGCUUCGGAGCCAUGGGAGGCAUGGGUGCACCUCCGGCCGUCAUGGGAGGCAUGGGUGCACCUUCGACCGCCAUGAGAGGCAUGGGUGGCUUUGGAUCACCCUCCGACGCUAUGGCCGCCAUGGGAGGGAUGAGUUUUGCUUCUCUCAUGGGAGGCAUGGGUGCACCACCGGCCGUCAUGGGUGGAAUGUCUUUCGAUGUGCCUUCUCACGCACAUUCCCAUGAAGAUGCCGUUGAAGAUCUUGCCAACACCGUCGGAGCUUCACGUGAUGCGGUGCGUGAUGAGGAGAGGGAGGAAGAUUCAUCUUCGGAGGCGGAAGAAUCGUCUUCAGAAGAUGAGGACGAAGACGAGGAAGAUGAUUGA